This 424-nucleotide RNase P RNA is filed under the name Pseudobutyrivibrio sp. RNAcentral's name for it is "RNase P RNA component class A". It matches the Rfam family "Bacterial RNase P class A". From Rfam's summary of the family: Ribonuclease P (RNase P) is a ubiquitous endoribonuclease, found in archaea, bacteria and eukarya as well as chloroplasts and mitochondria. Its best characterised activity is the generation of mature 5'-ends of tRNAs by cleaving the 5'-leader elements of precursor-tRNAs. Cellular RNase Ps are ribonucleoproteins. Lineage: Bacteria; Bacillati; Bacillota; Clostridia; Lachnospirales; Lachnospiraceae. The record is from RNAcentral.
GGGGCUAGAUGAGUAGUCGCUGCCUUACUGUAAUGGUAGGGGAGAGGAAAGUCCGGGCUUCACAGGGCAAGGAUGCCAGCUAACGGCUGGUGGAGGUAACUCCAAGGAUAGUGCAACAGAAAUGUACCGCCAGAAGGUGACCUGCCAUUGAAAAUCAGCUUUGCUGAUGAGGCAGGUCGCUGUUCACGAUUUUCUGCGUCAGGCUUGAAAAUCGUGGAACUGGUAAGGGUGGAAAGGCGGUGUAAGAGACCACCGUAUCGUUGGUAACAACGGUAGCCAUGUAAACCCCAUCCGAAGCAAGUUCUAAGCAGCGCGUACGCGGCCCGCCAGCGCUAGGUUGAACGCUUGAGGCCACUGGCGACAGUGGUCCUAGAUAGAUGACUACUUUAAAAGACAUAACCCGGCUCACAGUCUAACCCUUUUA